Molecule: transfer RNA, 93 nt
Organism: Lodderomyces elongisporus NRRL YB-4239
Lineage: Eukaryota; Fungi; Ascomycota; Pichiomycetes; Serinales; Debaryomycetaceae
Rfam family: tRNA
About the family: Transfer RNA (tRNA) molecules are approximately 80 nucleotides in length.
Source: Rfam
GCCUUCCUAGUUCAGUUGGUUAGAACGUCUGUCUCAUAAUUGUCCGCAAUGUGAGCCAUCAGGAGGUCGUGAGUUCGAUCCUCACGGAGGGCA